CGGCCGCGGGAUUCUCCACCGUGUUUAGGUAGCAUAAUCACUUGUCUCCUAAAUAGAGACUAGUAUGAACGGCCAAAUGAAGAUUUACCUGUCUCUUGAAGCCUAUCUAUGAAACUGAUCUUUCAGUACAAAAGCUGAAAUUUUAACACAAGACGAAAAGACCCUGUGGAACUUAAAGCCACAGCCAAAAAAAUGGACCUAUUGCUUUUAGUUGGGGCAACUUUGGAAAAAAACAAAACUUCCAAUUAACUAUCUAGGCAGACAUGCCGACAUACAAGAAACUAGAUCCAGUACUACUGAUUAAAGAAAAAAGCUACCCCAGGGAUAACAGCGCCAUCCCCUCUUAGAGUCCCCAUCGACGAGCGGGGUUUACGACCUCGAUGUUGGAUCAGGGC
RNAcentral lists this ribosomal RNA (395 nucleotides) under Calyptommatus leiolepis. RNAcentral describes it as "partial large subunit ribosomal RNA". It matches the Rfam family "Bacterial large subunit ribosomal RNA", at positions 1928 to 2543 of the family's 2925-position model. Lineage: Eukaryota; Metazoa; Chordata; Lepidosauria; Squamata; Gymnophthalmidae. The record is from RNAcentral.